Polypterus senegalus (gray bichir) is the source of this 254-nucleotide long non-coding RNA. RefSeq lists it as uncharacterized. Lineage: Eukaryota; Metazoa; Chordata; Cladistia; Polypteriformes; Polypteridae. The record is from RefSeq and is a predicted model, not a curated record. The transcript is spliced from 3 exons.
UAAGGACAUCAGAUCAGAAGACAGAAGUGAGUCCUAUGAGGGCAAAAUGCAGAAUUAUCAAGGACACUCGAAAGAAUUUAUAUUUCUGAAGUACUUUGGGUCAAAUAUACAGGCAAGUGAUGAAGCUGCUGAUUGCUGGCAGAGCACAGAUGAACCCUUCCCAACCUGCCAGAGCAGCUCAUGUUAUGAUGAUGACUUUGAAUCAUUGAAUUUGCUGUCUUUUAUACUUUUAAACAUAUUUUGGAAACUCUAUA